This 415-nucleotide ribosomal RNA is filed under the name Aggregatibacter aphrophilus. RNAcentral's name for it is "bacterial SSU rRNA". It matches the Rfam family "Bacterial small subunit ribosomal RNA", at positions 59 to 469 of the family's 1533-position model. Lineage: Bacteria; Pseudomonadati; Pseudomonadota; Gammaproteobacteria; Pasteurellales; Pasteurellaceae. The record is from RNAcentral.
AAGUCGAACGGUAGCAGGUAAGUACUUGUACUUAUGCUGACGAGUGGCGGACGGGUGAGUAANGCUUGGGGAUCUGGCUUAUGGAGGGGGAUAACGACGGGAAACUGUCGCUAAUACCGCGUAGAAUCGAGAGAUGAAAGUGUGGGACCUUCGGGCCACAUGCCAUAGGAUGAACCCAAGUGGGAUUAGGUAGUUGGUAGGGUAAUGGCCUACCAAGCCGACGAUCCCUAGCUGGUCUGAGAGGAUGACCAGCCACACCGGGACUGAGACACGGCCCGGACUCCUACGGGAGGCAGCAGUGGGGAAUAUUGCGCAAUGGGGGCAACCCUGACGCAGCCAUGCCGCGUGAAUGAAGAAGGCCUUCGGGUUGUAAAGUUCUUUCGGUGACGAGGAAGGUUGUUGUGUUAAUAGCGCA